RNAcentral lists this unclassified non-coding RNA (97 nucleotides) under Pseudomonas helmanticensis. Its description in RNAcentral is "microRNA mir-598". The record is from RNAcentral. Lineage: Bacteria; Pseudomonadati; Pseudomonadota; Gammaproteobacteria; Pseudomonadales; Pseudomonadaceae.
UGAUGAUUCCCCUGUAGGAGCUGCCGCAGGCUGCGAUCUUUUGAUCCUGUUUUUAAAGAUCAAAAGAUCGCAGCCUGCGGCAGCUCCUACAGUUGGA